Long non-coding RNA from Triplophysa dalaica, 1107 nucleotides. RefSeq lists it as uncharacterized. The record is from RefSeq and is a predicted model, not a curated record. The transcript has 3 exons. Lineage: Eukaryota; Metazoa; Chordata; Actinopteri; Cypriniformes; Nemacheilidae.
GAUCUCUGACUGCUAUUGUUUGUGCUAUAGGUGCUGUGACAGAUUAAAUAGAGUCAGUGUCAGUGAUGGAGGGAGAUUCUGUCACGCUACACACUAAUAUUGUGAUACAGACAGAUGAUUUCAUUGCGUGGAGAUAUGGAGCUCAACUCGAUCUCAUAGCAACACUUAACCGUGAAGCAAAUAAGAUUUCAUUAUAUAAUGACAAUGGUGAGACAUUUACUGACAGACUGAAGCUAAACGAUCAGACUGGAGAUCUCACCACCAUAGACGCCACAUCUGAACUCGAUGGAGUUUAUCAACUAGAGAUCACUGAAAAGAAGGUUACGACAAAGACAAUCAGUUUUAGUGUGGUUGGUGAUGCGGAUGAAAUGAAGUCAGUGUCAGUGAUGGAGGGAGAUUCUGUCACUCUGUACGCUGACAUUCCUGAUAUCAAGAAAUUUGAUGUGAUAUGCUGGAGGUUUCAAGCUCUUUUCUAGCUGAACUUAACAGAAAUAGUUCUGUCUACCCUAAAUAUGAUGUUUCUGAUGGAAGAUUCACAGACAGACUGCAGAUGUCGUCACUGACCAGAUCUCUGACCAUCACAAACAUCAGAAUCAAACACUCUGGACUUUAUGAAGUCGAUAUCAGCAGCCGAACACACACCAUACACCGGUCAUACACAGUUACUGUCAGUGGGAUGCAGGUGAAGUGAAGUCAGUGACAGUGAUGGAGGGAGAUUCUGUCACUCUACACACUGAUCUUACUCAGACAGAUGAUAAGCUUGAGUGGAUGUUCUUGAAGGGAGAUUCAGAGACAGACUGCAGGUGGAUGAUCAGACUGGAUCUCUCACCAUCACAAACAUUAAAACUGUUCUUUCUGGCCUUAUGAACUAAGGAUUAUCUACAGAAGACUAUCUAUUCAAAGAAGAUUCAUUAUGACUGUCGGUGGUGAGCUACUCAUGUGUGUGCAAAGUCUAAAUCAGCAUAUGAAGGAAUAAUUGAAUUCUAUAUAGAGGAAAGGCGGCAAAAUUACCUUAUUGUCAUUCAAUAAAUGAGGAAUGUAUAGAAUAAAUGUGAAUAUUAAUUAUGCAGUUUUCUCUUAAAGACUUUAGAAAUAUUCACAUGACGU